GACGAACGCUGGCGGCGUGCUUAACACAUGCAUGUCGAACGGAAAGGCCCUGCUUUUGUGGGGUGCUCGAGUGGCGAACGGGUGAGUAACACGUGAGUAACCUGCCCUUGACUUUGGGAUAACUUCAGGAAACUGGGGCUAAUACCGGAUAGGAGCUCCUGCUGCAUGGUGGGGGUUGGAAAGUUUCGGCGGUUGGGGAUGGACUCGCGGCUUAUCAGCUUGUUGGUGGGGUAGUGGCUUGCCAAGGCUUUGACGGGUAGCCGGCCUGAGAGGGUGACCGGCCACAUUGGGACUGAGAUACGGCCCAGACUCCUACGGGAGGCAGCAGUGGGGAAUAUUGCACAAUGGGCGGAAGCCUGAUGCAGCAACGCCGCGUGCGGGAUGACGGCCUUCGGGUUGUAAACCGCUUUCGCCUGUGACGAAGCGUGAGUGACGGUAAUGGGUAAAGAAGCACCGGCUAACUACGUG
RNAcentral lists this ribosomal RNA (468 nucleotides) under uncultured bacterium. RNAcentral describes it as "partial 16S ribosomal RNA". It matches the Rfam family "Bacterial small subunit ribosomal RNA", at positions 28 to 507 of the family's 1533-position model. The record is from RNAcentral.